GACGAACCGUGCGAACGUUGUUCGGAAUCACUGGGCUUAAAGGGCGCGUAGGCGGUUUGCCAAGUCAGGGGUGAAAUCCUGCAGCUCAACUGUAGAAGUGCCUUUGAUACUGGCGAACUCGAGGGAGGUAGGGGUGGGUGGAACUUCUGGUGGAGCGGUGAAAUGCGUAGAUAUCAUUUGGAACGCCAAAGGUGAAAACAGGUAGCUGGGGCUGUGCUGACGCUGAGACACGAAAGCCAGGGGAGCAAACGGG
RNAcentral lists this ribosomal RNA (253 nucleotides) under uncultured bacterium. Its description in RNAcentral is "partial 16S ribosomal RNA". It matches the Rfam family "Bacterial small subunit ribosomal RNA", at positions 524 to 776 of the family's 1533-position model. The record is from RNAcentral.